RNAcentral lists this ribosomal RNA (158 nucleotides) under Gentiana nanobella. RNAcentral describes it as "5.8S ribosomal RNA". It matches the Rfam family "5.8S ribosomal RNA". Rfam says of the family: 5.8S ribosomal RNA (5.8S rRNA) is a component of the large subunit of the eukaryotic ribosome. It is transcribed by RNA polymerase I as part of the 45S precursor that also contains 18S and 28S rRNA. The record is from RNAcentral. Lineage: Eukaryota; Viridiplantae; Streptophyta; Magnoliopsida; Gentianales; Gentianaceae.
ACUCUCGGCAACGGAUAUCUCGGCUCUCGCAUCGAUGAAGAACGUAGCAAAAUGCGAUACUUGGUGUGAAUUGCAGAAUCCCGUGAAUCAUCGAGUCUUUGAACGCAAGUUGCGCCCGAGGCCAUUAGGCUAAGGGCACGUCUGCCUGGGCGUCACGC